CCUACGGGAGGCAGCAGUGGGGAAUAUUGGACAAUGGGCGCAAGCCUGAUCCAGCCAUGCCGCGUGGAUGAUGAAGGCCCUAGGGUUGUAAAGUCCUUUCGGCGGGGAAGCGGUACCCGCAGAAGAAGCCCCGGCUAACUUCGUGCCAGCAGCCGCGGUAAUACGAAGGGGGCUAGCGUUGCUCGGAAUCACUGGGCGUAAAGCGCACGUAGGCGGACUCUUAAGUCGGUGGUGAAAUCCUGGAGCUCAACUCCAGAACUGCCUUCGAUACUGAGAGUCUUGAGUCCGAGAGAGGUGAGUGGAACUGCGAGUGUAGAGGUGAAAUUCGUAGAUAUUCGCAAGAACACCAGUGGCGAAGGCGGCUCACUGGCUCGGACUGACGCUGAGGUGCGAAAGCGUGGGGAGCAAACAGGAUUAGAUACCCUUGUAGUC
Molecule: ribosomal RNA, 432 nt
Filed under: uncultured bacterium
Lineage: Bacteria
Description: partial 16S ribosomal RNA
Rfam family: Bacterial small subunit ribosomal RNA
Source: RNAcentral